GUGGGGAAUCUUAGACAAUGGGGGAAACCCUGAUCUAGCCAUGCCGCGUGAUCGAUGAAGGCCCUAGGGUUGUAAAGCUCUUUCAGCUGGGAAGAUAAUGACGGUACCAGCAGAAGAAGCCCCGGCUAACUCCGUGCCAGCAGCCGCGGUAAUACGGAGGGGGCUAGCGUUGUUCGGAAUUACUGGGCGUAAAGCGCGCGUAGGCGGACUGAAAAGUUGGGGGUGAAAUCCCGGGGCUCAACCCCGGAAUUGCCUUCAAAACUCCCGGUCUUGAGGUCGAGAGAGGUGAGUGGAAUUCCGAGUGUAGAGGUGAAAUUCGUAGAUAUUCGGAGGAACACCAGUGGCGAAGGCGGCUCACUGGCUCGAUACUGACGCUGAGGUGCGAAAGCGUGGGGAGCAAACAGGAUUAGAUACCCUUGUAGUCC
RNAcentral lists this ribosomal RNA (425 nucleotides) under uncultured bacterium. RNAcentral describes it as "partial 16S ribosomal RNA". It matches the Rfam family "Bacterial small subunit ribosomal RNA", at positions 354 to 796 of the family's 1533-position model. The record is from RNAcentral.